UACGUAGGGUGCAAGCGUUGUCCGGAAUAUUGGGCGUAAAGAGCUCGUAGGCGGUCUGUCGCGUCUGCUGUGAAAACCUAGGGCUUAACUCUGGGCGUGCAGUGGGUACGGGCAGGCUAGAGUGCGGUAGGGGAGACUGGAAUUCCUGGUGUAGCGGUGAAAUGCGCAGAUAUCAGGAGGAACACCGGUGGCGAAGGCGGGUCUCUGGGCCGUAACUGACGCUGAGGAGCGAAAGCGUGGGGAGCGAACAGG
This 252-nucleotide ribosomal RNA is filed under the name uncultured bacterium. RNAcentral describes it as "partial 16S ribosomal RNA". It matches the Rfam family "Bacterial small subunit ribosomal RNA", at positions 524 to 776 of the family's 1533-position model. The record is from RNAcentral.